GACGUCGAUAUUCGACGUCAUAAACACGAUCAACUUUUGUGUUUAUGACGUCUAUAUUCGACGUCAUAAACACGAUCAACUUUGGUGUUUAUGACGUCGAUAUUCGACGUCAUAAACACGAUCAACUUAGGUGUUUAUGACGUCGAUAUUCGACGCCAUAAACACGAUCAAAUUUGGUGCUUAUGACGUCGAUAUUCGACGUCAUAAACACGAUCAACUUUGGUGUUUAUGACGUCGAUAUUCGACGUC
This 249-nucleotide microRNA precursor is filed under the name Paramuricea clavata. The record is from RNAcentral. Lineage: Eukaryota; Metazoa; Cnidaria; Anthozoa; Malacalcyonacea; Plexauridae.